RNAcentral lists this ribosomal RNA (1024 nucleotides) under Lactobacillus delbrueckii subsp. bulgaricus. RNAcentral describes it as "partial 23S ribosomal RNA". It matches the Rfam family "Bacterial large subunit ribosomal RNA", at positions 446 to 1474 of the family's 2925-position model. Lineage: Bacteria; Bacillati; Bacillota; Bacilli; Lactobacillales; Lactobacillaceae. The record is from RNAcentral.
GCGAGGACCAUCUCGCAAGGCUAAAUACUAACCAGUGACCGAUAGUGAACCAGUACCGUGAGGGAAAGGUGAAAAGAACCCCGGGAGGGGAGUGAAAGAGAACCUGAAACCGUGUGCCUACAAGUAGUCAGAGCCCGUUAACGGGUAAUGGCGUGCCUUUUGUAGAAUGAACCGGCGAGUUGCGUUAGUCAGCAAGGUUAAGUCAGAAAAGACGGAGCCGUAGCGAAAGCGAGUCUGAAGAGGGCGAGCAGUUGGCUGACGCAGACCCGAAACCAAGUGACCUACCCAUGACCAGGUUGAAGGCGCGGUAAAACGCGCUGGAGGACCGAACCCACGUAAGUUGAAAAUUGCGGGGAUGAGUUGUGGGUAGCGGUGAAAUUCCAAACGAACUUGGAGAUAGCUGGUUCUCUCCGAAAUAGCUUUAGGGCUAGCCUCGCAAAGAGGAUGCUGGAGGUAGAGCUCUGUUUGGACUAGGGGCCCGUCAAGGGUUACUGAAUUCAGAUAAACUGCGAAUUCCAGACAUUUAUGUGCGGGAGUCAGACUGCGAGUGAUAAGAUCCGUAGUCGAAAGGGAAACAGCCCAGAUCACCAGUUAAGGUCCCAAAAUUCAUGCUAAGUGGAAAAGGAUGUGGAGUUGCGCAGACAACUAGGACGUUGGCUCAGAAGCAGCCAUCAUUCAAAGAGUGCGUAAUAGCUCACUAGUCGAGUGACGCCGCGCCGAAAAUUUACCGGGGCUAAGCAUGAUACCGAAACUGUGGAUGUGCGUUUAUGCACGUGGUAGGAGAGCGUUCUAGCGGCGGUGAAGCAUGACCGAGAGGACAUGUGGAGCUUCUAGAAGUGAGAAUGCCGGUAUGAGUAACGAAAGACAGGUGAGAAUCCUGUCCGCCGCAAGACUAAGGUUUCCUGGGGCAGGCUCGUCCGCCCAGGGUAAGUCGGGACCUAAGGCGAGGCCGAGAGGCGUAGUCGAUGGACAACAGGUUGAAAUUCCUGUACUGCACCGAAUCGUUAUGAGCGAUGGAGGGACG